RNAcentral lists this ribosomal RNA (431 nucleotides) under uncultured bacterium. RNAcentral describes it as "partial 16S ribosomal RNA". It matches the Rfam family "Bacterial small subunit ribosomal RNA", at positions 29 to 507 of the family's 1533-position model. The record is from RNAcentral.
AACGAACGCUGGCGGCAGGCUUAACACAUGCAAGUCGAGCGCCCCGCCAGGGGAGCGGCAGACGGGUGAGUAACGCGUGGGAACGUACCUUUUGGUUCGGAACAACUCCGGGAAACUGGAGCUAAUACCGGAUAAGCCCUAACGGGGAAAGAUUUAUCGCCGAAAGAUCGGCCCGCGUCUGAUUAGCUAGUUGGUGAGGUAACGGCUCACCAAGGCGACGAUCAGUAGCUGGUCUGAGAGGAUGAUCAGCCACACUGGGGCUGAGACACGGCCCAGACUCCUACGGAAGGCAGCAGGGGGGAAUAUUGGACAAUGGGCGCAAGCCUGAUCCAGCCAUGCCGCGUAAGUGAUGAAGGCCUUAGGGUUGUAAAGCUCUUUUGUCCGGGAAGAUAAUGACUGUACCGGAAGAAUAAGCCCCGGCUAACUUCGUG